CCGUCUCAAGAAAAGAGCAGUUAAUGUAGCAAACCCAGG
This 39-nucleotide transfer RNA is filed under the name Pristimantis sp. n. MN-2019. RNAcentral describes it as "partial tRNA-Leu". The record is from RNAcentral. Lineage: Eukaryota; Metazoa; Chordata; Amphibia; Anura; Strabomantidae.